Molecule: small RNA, 75 nt
Filed under: Tolypothrix bouteillei VB521301
Lineage: Bacteria; Bacillati; Cyanobacteriota; Cyanophyceae; Nostocales; Tolypothrichaceae
Description: Cyano-1 RNA
Rfam family: Cyano-1 RNA
Source: Rfam by way of RNAcentral
UCAAGUGUGAGGAGUAAGUUGAAACGAAAAGCGCUUGGAGUCGAAACACGGCAAGACGUUCAGGCGCUUUUUGCG